CACACGCAUGAUUGUAAUUCGCUUUAGAUAAAAGUGUCUGCUAAAUGGCAUAUA
This is a non-coding RNA of Salmo salar (Atlantic salmon), 54 nucleotides long. Lineage: Eukaryota; Metazoa; Chordata; Actinopteri; Salmoniformes; Salmonidae. The record is from Rfam.